UACGUGGGGUGCAAGCGUUAUCCGGAUUUACUGGGCGUAAAGAGUUCGUAGGCGCCUGGUCAAGUUUCGUUUGAAAUACCAAAGCUUAACUUUGGGACCGGACGAAAAACUGAUCGGGUCGAGUCAAUUAGGGGGUACUGGAAUUGAUAGUGUAGCAGUGAAAUGCGUUGAUAUUAUCAAGAACACCAAGGGCGAAGGCAGGUACCUGGGAUUUGACUGACGCUGAGGAACGAAAGCUAGGGGAG
RNAcentral lists this ribosomal RNA (245 nucleotides) under uncultured bacterium. RNAcentral's name for it is "partial 16S ribosomal RNA". It matches the Rfam family "Bacterial small subunit ribosomal RNA", at positions 524 to 768 of the family's 1533-position model. The record is from RNAcentral.